Molecule: ribosomal RNA, 432 nt
Filed under: uncultured bacterium
Lineage: Bacteria
Description: partial 16S ribosomal RNA
Rfam family: Bacterial small subunit ribosomal RNA
Source: RNAcentral
AACGAACGCUGGCGGCAUGCCUAACACAUGCAAGUCGAACGAGACCUUCGGGUCUAGUGGCGCACGGGUGCGUAACGCGUGGGAACCUGCCUUUAGGUUCGGAAUAACUCAGAGAAAUUUGAGCUAAUACCGGAUGAUGUCUUCGGACCAAAGAUUUAUCGCCUUUAGAUGGGCCCGCGUUGGAUUAGCUAGUUGGUGGGGUAAAGGCCUACCAAGGCGACGAUCCAUAGCUGGUCUGAGAGGAUGAUCAGCCACACUGGGACUGAGACACGGCCCAGACUCCUACGGGAGGGAGCAGUGGGGAAUAUUGGACAAUGGGCGAAAGCCUGAUCCAGCAAUGCCGCGUGAGUGAUGAAGGCCUUAGGGUUGUAAAGCUCUUUUACCCGAGAUGAUAAUGACAGUAUCGGGAGAAUAAGCUCCGGCUAACUCCGU